Molecule: unclassified non-coding RNA, 253 nt
Filed under: uncultured Alphaproteobacteria bacterium
Lineage: Bacteria; Pseudomonadati; Pseudomonadota; Alphaproteobacteria
Description: contains 16S-23S intergenic spacer region
Rfam family: Bacterial small subunit ribosomal RNA
Source: RNAcentral
UACGAAGGGGGCUAGCGUUGUUCGGAAUUACUGGGCGUAAAGCGCACGUAGGCGGAUUGUUAAGUUAGAGGUGAAAUCCCGGAGCUCAACUCCGGAACUGCCUUUAAUACUGGCAAUCUUGAGUCCGAGAGAGGUGAGCGGAACUCCUAGUGUAGAGGUGGGAUUCGUAGAUAUUAGGAAGAACACCAGUGGCGAAGGCGGCUCACUGGCUCGGUACUGACGCUGAGGUGCGAAAGCGUGGGGAGCAAACAGG